This is a long non-coding RNA of Dromaius novaehollandiae (emu), 1221 nucleotides long. RefSeq lists it as uncharacterized. The transcript has 6 exons. The record is from RefSeq and is a predicted model, not a curated record. NCBI's taxonomy places the organism in Eukaryota, Metazoa, Chordata, Aves, Casuariiformes, Dromaiidae.
UUCAAACUCAUGAGGCUUACUGCCUCAAAAAUCUUAUCAAUGAAUAUUUUCAUACACUGAAGAUAUCCAGUGCCCAGCUUUGGAUACUUCACGUUUUCUCAGUGUCAGUGAUUUAACCUUUGCUUGAGCUUAGUCUUUAGGCUUGUAACUUUGUUCCUAUUCUUUUUGUUUGUUUGUUUCCUUCUACUUUUAUUUCAGGAUACAACCUUAAGAUUUUUUUUCCAGCUCUGGAUCUCUUCUGUUCAGCUGUGGGGAGACACCAGCAAGUGCAGCUUUAGGUGUUUGAGUUCUCCAGCCAACAUGAAUUUCUGCAGUGGGGCUUUUACACUGUUCUUAGGAAAACAUCAAGGAUGGGAAGCCUGGCAAAGAGCAGCGAAACAAAGUACUGUCUCCGUUUUGUUUUGGAUUGCUUCGGGUGCCUUUAAAGUUCAAAUACCUGUACCUCCAUGCAACCCUUGUGUCUGGAGAGGAGAUGGCCACAUCAGCGCAGCGCGCAUUGCUGUGUGAGAUCGGGGUUACGCUAGCUGUAUCUGUUGUAGCCCCACAUCGAUACAGCAGACUGGCAUCUGUCAGCAAGGGGAUUAGGAGCAUGACGUGAACUCCACACAGGGCUAAAGAAGUGGACCAGAAGAGAGGCCGCUGAAGGAUUUCUGAUUACUAUUUCAACCUAGAGGCCGGAAUAGAAGUUGAGGGUCGUUACUUUAAACGGUGGCUGUUCAGUAGUGCAAAAGGAUGAAAAUGCUGUGUCUGUGCUUGCUCACUGUGCUUUGAGGGCACAUCCGUGGAAAUCUUCCUGUGGAAAGGAGAGGGAGAAGCUGGUGUGUGCCCAGGAAUUGCUCUGAUAUGGAGCUAGCUGGGAUAAUAAUUUGCAUGAACACCAGGGCUUUAUCUCAAAUGCACAUGAAGACGACUCUUGUGUUGGGUCAGCUGGAAGUUAUCCUCCUUUAUCGUAGGGAUUUCAGUGUGGAUGUGACACCUUUCCCACCUUCAGGUGUACUACAGGAUACAACCAAGGAAACUCACUGGGCUGGAUUCAUUAGAACUAUCAAAAUGUCUGCCAUGAAUUGAAGAUGAGCUGUAAAGAUCAGAUUAGGGAUGAAUUUCUACCUUCCUUACCCUAACGUUCAGAAUUAUUCAGAGAAGAACCAAAUCCAGGGUGAUUCUGGAUCAUUAUAAAUUCAGAGCUGGAAUGAACCUGAAAGGAUGAGCUAUCCCAAUUUC